This 203-nucleotide long non-coding RNA is filed under the name Zalophus californianus (California sea lion). RNAcentral describes it as "lncRNA (ENSZCAG00015017445.1)". Lineage: Eukaryota; Metazoa; Chordata; Mammalia; Carnivora; Otariidae. The record is from RNAcentral.
CUAGAAGUAAAGCUGUUGAUUUUUUUGCUAGAAUCUUCUUCAUUAAUUUAACUAAAUUUCCACAGGACUUGUAAUUUUCAAAAGAAAUACAUGCCCCCAUUGGGUGAAGGCAAGAAGGAAUCAUCAAUGUAAUUUUAACUGGCAGACAACCACCCAAACGAGAAAACUCUAAGUACAGCAGCCCAAGUCAUCUCGUUUCUCGU